RNAcentral lists this ribosomal RNA (495 nucleotides) under uncultured bacterium. RNAcentral describes it as "partial 16S ribosomal RNA". It matches the Rfam family "Bacterial small subunit ribosomal RNA", at positions 28 to 507 of the family's 1533-position model. The record is from RNAcentral.
GACGAACGCUGGCGGCGUGCCUAAUACAUGCAAGUAGAACGCUGAAGGAGGAGCUUGCUUCUCUGGAUGAGUUGCGAACGGGUGAGUAACGCGUAGGUAACCUGCCUGGUAGCGGGGGAUAACUAUUGGAAACGAUAGCUAAUACCGCAUAACAGUAGAUAUCGCAUGAUAUCUACUUGAAAGGUGCAAUUGCAUCACUACCAGAUGGACCUGCGUUGUAUUAGCUAGUUGGUGAGGUAACGGCUCACCAAGGCGACGAUACAUAGCCGACCUGAGAGGGGGAUCGGCCACACUGGGACUGGGACACGGCCCAGACUCCUACGGGAGGCAGCAGUAGGGAAUCUUCGGCAAUGGACGGAAGGCUGACCGAGCAACGCCGCGUGAGGGAAGAAGGUUUUCGGAUCGUAAAGCUCUGUUGUAAGAGAAGAACGAGUGUGAGAGUGGAAAGUUCACACUGUGACGGUAUCUUACCAGAAAGGGACGGCUAACUACGUG